Long non-coding RNA from Equus caballus (horse), 2496 nucleotides. Lineage: Eukaryota; Metazoa; Chordata; Mammalia; Perissodactyla; Equidae. The record is from Ensembl.
GGGACUUGCUGAAGGUCAAACAGCUAGUAACUGGCAGAAUCAGGAUUUGGACCCAAAUCUCUGCACUGCCUCUGUCAAGCCCCACUGAAGGAGGGCAGCUGCGUGGCUGUGAGAGCCACAGGAACAGUGGAAAUGACCGUUUUUAAUUCACUCAAUGUGAGUUAGAAUGGCCGUCGUGCUAUUGAACCCUGGGCCCCUAAAGCCGCUAGUCAUUGUCAUAAUUUGUAGCAUGAGUGUCAGUGGUUGUGCUGUUGCUCCUACCAUGACCUUGACUAUGGGCGAUUACUCUGCUCCGGCUUUAGGUGGGAGCUCUCACGCCCCCCUCGGCACAAGCAGAAGCACAAGCAGCAGAGAUGUGAUUAUCUCUGUUUUACAGUUGGGGAAACUGAGGCACAAAAAAGUCCAGUAAGCUGCCCAUGACCGCACAGUUAGGAAGUAGUGGAGCACAUCAGAGUACAAUGCAGACGGAGCCACAGCGGCUGGGGAGCACAGCCCACCGAGCAGAGCCCAUCCGCCCACCAGAGGCUCUCACGACCGACUGAAACCCGCCUCCUUCUGACGGGCCAUUGGGGGCUAAGCUGAGGCCCAGCUUGGCGCCCCUUCCCUCUCUGCGGCCUGGUUCUGAGGAAAGAUCACUUUCCUCAGAAUCCCCACCCAGUCUCCAGAAGACAAAGGCUUCCAGAGCCCCACAGAACCUUGGCGAUGGGAAGUGGAUUUCUCCCAUCUUCUGCUUUCAGCCAAGUAACAUUUACCUAAGGCCACUUAACACAUGAUAAUAAUUAUAUCACCGCUUUGGAGCUGGGAAGCAUGAGAGUCCAGCAUCCAGUUGGUCAGACAGGCAGAAGAGGCCUGGAAAAGGAUGGGAGAGUGGGAAAAGUUCCCUCUGGUGACCCCUGGGCAAAGCCAACAAGAAAUUCACUUCUCUGUCCUGUUUCCCGGCUCCUUCCACGGGAGGCCAGCUAGCAUUGUGCUUAGGAGCCAGGAGGCCCAGAUGGAACUCCAGUCCAGCCGCUGUGCGACCAUGUUAAUAACAUCUCCUUCUGAGGUGAAAAUGGCAUUAUGCACGACAGAGCCUAAGCAGAGCCUGCCUUGAAAUCAGCAAAUCCCAUUUCCAGUUUCCCCUGGGUGCACAGACGGACUAUCUCCCAGCAUCCCUCGCAGUAAGGUGUGACCACGUGACUGAGCUCUGGCCAGUGAAAGGGACAAGAGGUGUCCUCACUUCCAGACGGCGCCCAGAGAGCCUCACGGGGAGCUCAGCCCCUCCCAGCCUGCCAGUCGGGUGGAGUGGAGCUGGCUUCCUCCUCUGUAAAAGAGAGGUGAUGGGAUCAGGUGCCUACUGCAGCGGGAUGCCUGGAGGAGUGAAGCACGGAAAGCUUAGAAGGGUGCGCGGCACCUGGUGAACACCAUGACGUGUAAGCUAUUGCUAUUACUCUCUCCACCUCAGCGAGGAGUCAGGCGUAGGCCCUCCCACCUCCACCCCACCCAGCCUUUCCCUCAGACCCAGCACCUCCGCAAGAUGAGGGAUGUGAGUGUUUGUGGCCGGCUUGGCUUCACAGGAAAGGCAACGCAAGCGGACGGCGGUUAGGAGCUCAGGCAGACAGACCCGGGCCCAAACUCUUGUGGCCCUGAGCCAAUUAACCUUGUCUUCUUUAAAAAGGAGAUGAUAGACCCUACCUACUAAGAUGGUGAGAACUGCUGAAGAUGAGUCUCUAAAUGAGUGGUUCUUGAAGAGUCGUCCCCAGUGUCAGCAGCAGCAGCAUCACCUGGGAGCUUGUUAGAAAGGCAACAAUUCUGGGGCUCCACUCUAGAUCCGCUGACUCAGACACUCGGGUGCGCCCAGCAAUCUGUUUUAACAGGCCUGCCAGGUGACUGAUGCACACUCAAGUGUGAGAACAGAAAGGGCUCACCACUGUGCCUGUCAUGCGAUAAAGCCCUCCUAAGCACGGGAUUUGCGUCUUUGGGGGGUGAACUGUACCCAGUGAACCUGUGCGGCGCAGCCUCCCAUCUCAUCCACAGGUUGGGUUGCUCAAGAAAUAUACCAGUUUUUAAAAAUUCUCUGUAACCCACCGAAUCUCCGACUCUUGCCCUCCACUUUGCUGUGCCAGCAUAAAGUAAACUCCCGUCCUUCUCGGCGUCCCCUCUCCUUUCUGGGGUUGGGCCUCGGUUCGUGGGUUUUACACAGUGCCCAGUGGAGACAGUUUCAGCAGGUGUGAGUCAUCGGUCCACACUGUUGCUUUUGGAACAGGCUUGGGACCCAGAGAAUUCCCUGAAGCUGCCUCUGCCACCAUCAGCCACAGCUCAAGAACUCAGAUGCCCACAGGGGCCGGACCAGUCAGGGAAGGAACCAAGUGGACUGGCUGUGACCCAGCAGCAAGAAGUGGGGGCCAUGGGGCCAGAGCAAGUGCAUGCCAGGGCCCACGGCUGCAGCCUCACGGGAGGGCAGGCCCAGGCCUGCCAGAUCUCUGUUUCAAGACAGGCUGCACAACUGGAUCCAAA